This 401-nucleotide ribosomal RNA is filed under the name uncultured bacterium. RNAcentral describes it as "bacterial SSU rRNA". It matches the Rfam family "Bacterial small subunit ribosomal RNA", at positions 29 to 432 of the family's 1533-position model. The record is from RNAcentral.
AUUGAACGCUGGCGGAAUGCUUUACACAUGCAAGUCGAGCGGCAGCGCGGGGGCAACCCUGGCGGCGAGCGGCGAACGGGUGAGUAACAUAUCGGAACGUACCCCGUCGUGGGGGAUAACACAGCGAAAGCUGUGCUAAUACCGCAUACGACCUGAGGGUGAAAGCGGGGGACCGUAAGGCCUCGCGCGAUGGGAGCGGCCGAUAUCGGAUUAGCUUGUUGGUGAGGUAAAGGCUCACCAAGGCGACGAUCCGUAGCUGGUCUGAGAGGACGACCAGCCACACUGGAACUGAGACACGGUCCAGACUCCUACGGGAGGCAGCAGUGGGGGAAUUUUGGACAAUGGGGGCAACCCUGAUCUAGCCAUUCCGCGUGAGUGAAGAAGGCCUCGGUUGGUAAGUA